GGUUAACGGGGGAUUAGGGUUCGAUUCCGGAGAGGGAGCCUGAGAAACGGCUACCACAUCUAAGGAAGGCAGCAGGCGCGCAAAUUACCCAAUUCUAACAGUUUGAGAGAGGUAGUAACAAGAAAUAACAAUACAAGGCAGUUAAAAUGCUUUGUAAUUGGAAUGAUAGAAAUUUAAACCCUUUUUAAAGUAUCAAUUGGAGGGCAAGUCUGGUGCCAGCAGCCGCGGUAAUUCCAGCUCCAAUAGCGUAUAUUAAAAUUGUUGCAGUUAAAAAGCUCGUAGUUGAAGUUCUGCUAAAAGUAACCGGUCUGCUUUUAAUAAAAGUGGUAUCUUGGUGUGUAUUUAGCAAUGAUGUCCUUUGAAGUGUUUUUUACUUUAUUGUAAUAAAGCAUAUUCAGGACUUUUACUUUGAGAAAAUUAGAGUGUUUCUAGCAGGCUGACGCUUUGAAUACUGCAGCAUGGAAAUAAUAAGAUAGGAUUUUAGUUCUACAUUAUUGGUUUUAAGAGCUAAAUUAAUGAUUGAUAGGGACAGUUGGGGGGCAUUUGUAUUUAACUGUCAGAGGU
Molecule: ribosomal RNA, 564 nt
Filed under: Hepatozoon canis
Lineage: Eukaryota; Apicomplexa; Hepatozoidae
Description: SSU rRNA
Rfam family: Eukaryotic small subunit ribosomal RNA
Source: RNAcentral